GUCGUAACAAGGUCUCCGUUUGUGAACCUGCGGAGGGAUCAUUA
This 44-nucleotide ribosomal RNA is filed under the name Beauveria bassiana. RNAcentral describes it as "partial 18S ribosomal RNA". Lineage: Eukaryota; Fungi; Ascomycota; Sordariomycetes; Hypocreales; Cordycipitaceae. The record is from RNAcentral.